ACCAGACUCCUACGGGAGGCAGCAGUGGGGGAUAUUGCACAAUGGGGGGAACCCUGAUGCAGCGACGCCGCGUGGGUGAAGAAGCGCCUCGGCGCGUAAAGCCCUGUCAGCAGGGAAGAAAAUGACGGUACCUGAAGAAGAAGCCCCGGCUAACUACGUGCCAGCAGCCGCGGUAAUACGUAGGGGGCAAGCGUUAUCCGGAUUUACUGGGUGUAAAGGGGGCGCAGACGGCGAUGCAAGCCAGGAGUGAAAGCCCGGGGCCCAACCCCGGGACUGCUCUUGGAACUGCGUGGCUGGAGUGCAGGAGGGGCAGGCGGAAUUCCUGGUGUAGCGGUGAAAUGCGUAGAUAUCAGGAGGAACACCGGUGGCGAAGGCGGCCUGCUGGACUGCAACUGACGUUGAGGCCCGAAAGCGUGGGGAGCAAACAGGAUUAGAUACCCCCGUAGC
This 447-nucleotide ribosomal RNA is filed under the name uncultured bacterium. RNAcentral describes it as "bacterial SSU rRNA". It matches the Rfam family "Bacterial small subunit ribosomal RNA", at positions 330 to 794 of the family's 1533-position model. The record is from RNAcentral.